AAAAAACUCAAAAAGAAGGACCUUAUAGUGAUGUACGGGAUGACCGAGACGAGUCCCGUGACCUUCCAAUGCUUUCCUUCAGAUCCUCCAGAAGUCCGGUCCUCCACCAUCGGCUACCCGGGAGACCACAUUGAGGUGAAGGUGGUCGACGAGUGACGGGAGAUCGUGCCCACGGGAGAG
Penaeus monodon (black tiger shrimp) is the source of this 180-nucleotide long non-coding RNA. RefSeq lists it as uncharacterized. NCBI's taxonomy places the organism in Eukaryota, Metazoa, Arthropoda, Malacostraca, Decapoda, Penaeidae. The record is from RefSeq and is a predicted model, not a curated record. The transcript has 3 exons.